This is a long non-coding RNA of Urocitellus parryii (Arctic ground squirrel), 1029 nucleotides long. RefSeq lists it as uncharacterized. The record is from RefSeq and is a predicted model, not a curated record. Lineage: Eukaryota; Metazoa; Chordata; Mammalia; Rodentia; Sciuridae.
CCCAUGGGCCCCCGGUGCUGUCCCACGCGCCUUCCAUUCUGGGCUAUGGACACGAGCCCAUGCGCACACUCGGCCAGCGGCUCCCAGCUGGAUCUGAGCCCAGGCCCUAGGAUCCUGCAGCCGGGUGACCUGCUCCUGCCAGGCAGCUAAGGAGCCAGGAAAGAGUGGGCUCUGACUGCACAGGCCAGCUCCCUGCUCUGGGUGAGGAGACUGGCCACCCCAAUCUCACUCCGAAGACAGUGACCAAGGCUGUGGAGAAAUCACACCAGUGGGGACCUCAGAGAGAGGCAAGAACCCUCUUAGACUGCUGUGCUGUCAGUGUCAGGGGUCUGCUCGGCCAGGGGCCAGCCCCAUUUACUCACCCACAGGAAUCCAGGUGCUGCUGGGAGGAUACUUUGUAGCUGUGGUUAACAUCACUGUCUGUUGAUAAGCCCAGGAGAUUGUGCAUGAUGUUGGUGGGCCUCAUCUGAGCAGUCGAAGGCCUGAAGAACAAUACUGAAGCUUCCCUGAGAAGAGGAGCUUCUGCCUGAGAGGCUCCAGCUUGCAGGCCGCCCUGCAGACAGGCAGCCCUGUGAGCCAGUUCUUCGACAUCAGCAGCGCUUCCCUGUAGGAGCCUGCGGGGCACCAGGAGAAAGCUGACAUCCAGGCCUCUCCCCCUGAUUUCCCUCUCCGCUGGAGUCUGUGAUGAGCUAGACGCUGUGCUAGCCCCAGGAAUGUAGUGGACUCCUCACCGAGCGUGGGAACAGUGACAUUAAGAAGCUCGGAGUUCAAUGAUGUCACACUGGCCACUUGACAUUAGCUGUGGUAGGAGCAUUUGCAGAAUCAGCAAUUGGCAGAAUCAGCAAUCCGGGCUUCCCAGCUGUUACUGUCUGGAGUCUCCUCACCUUGAGCCCUAAGGGAUGGAAUCUGCUGUCUCCAGACUGAGACCUCUGAAACUGUGAGUGACAAACUUUUCCUCCUCUUUUGGUCCCAGUGUUGACUACAACAGCAGCUGAGGCACACACCAUCGGCUUACCAGGGAGCCCAGGG